Molecule: long non-coding RNA, 1435 nt
Organism: Mustela erminea (ermine)
Lineage: Eukaryota; Metazoa; Chordata; Mammalia; Carnivora; Mustelidae
Exons: 3
Source: RefSeq, a predicted model, not a curated record
AAUUUACAAGGAGCCAGUGAAGGUUCUGUGACUCAAGGAAAGUGCUUGAAAAAGGUGUACAGUUUCCUCAGAUGGGAGUGUGAGUAAUGGGUGUCCUGGAGGCUGAGAAAAGCACUAGAAGAGGUGUCAUUGGAAUGGAUAAGGUGAGUGGGCAGUUGAGCUUCAUGAACAAUAUGGGGGAGGGGGAGUGGGGAGAGCUGUAAGAGAGUAGGCUGAUGCGUUAGGGCUGCUGAGGGCUUUGGCUGCCAUGAUGAAGAGUUGCCAGUGGGUAACUCUUCAAGUGUUUGAGUGGUUAUGAUCAGCUUGUCUUUUAGAAGACAACCCCGAUAGCAAAAUGGAGGAUGGAUUAGAGAAGAGAGAAAAUGGAGUCAGGGGAGGAAGGCAUUUUAAAUGAAGCUUUUACAUUUUCAUAUGAAAUAUUAUCUUUGUUUUCUCCACACAUAUGUGGUACAGCAUAAAAGAUUUAGAGCAAAAACCAUGGACAACAUGCCUAUUCAUUUCAAUGAUUAAAAAAAGUUUUUAUUGAAUACCUGCUACCUGCUAGUGACAUUUCUGAGGGCUGUAUAUACAGCAGUCAACAAGAUAGACAUGACCUCUGCCCUCAGGGAGCUUACCUUCUCUUGGGGGAGAAUGAUCAUCAAGCCAACAAAGUAAUAAGUAAUUUAGAUUGGGGUACUUGCUAUGAGGAAGCAAAUAGAAUGAUACAAUACCAGUGUGUAGGUUAAACUGGAGGUUGAGUACGGGGUCUUUGUUACUUAAGGUCCUCUGGGAAAGCCUUUCUGUUGGAAUGAAAUAUGAAAAAAAAGUAGCCUAAUAUUGUAGUAUUUUUGAUAUUGAUUUGUGACCUCAUUUAUUAAUAUGGCCUUGGUUAAAAGUCCCUUCGAGGCGUUUGCACUUACAGAGAUAACCUCAGGAACAGGUUAACUCUUCAGGUUUAUCAGAAACCUCUCCGUAAGGAGCAAGCUUGCUGUAUUUCAGUAUAAACGGCAUUUACAGAAUCCUGCUUUAAUCUUAGGUGAGCUUCACCGUAAAUGAAAUAUAUAAGAAACAUUUCAUGUGUAAAAGAUCCGUAUAUGGAAGACCUUUGCUCAUUUUACAGAAAGGCUACUUUUUUCUGUGAUAUUUUUCAGUGUCCCUUGUUCUACUCCCAGUAAUCUAUUUUUCUGAGAAAUCCCUUCCAGAGAAUAGAUUUGUUGGCAUGCUUCUUAUCCUGUGAUGAGAAUUGUGCAGCCAAUCUAGUUUUUUCCUUUUCCUGGUGCACCAGGAAGCUCAAAGCUUAAGGUGUGUGUUCAUUUGUCUGUUUUUCUGUUUGGAUUCUAAGAUAGUAUCUUCUACUUUGUGUCUGUCUUUGUCCCUUGGAUUUUGUGUUUUCACCAGUGGAUUAUUCCAGCUUUCAGUUAAUGAAGUGUCAAGUCCUUAUUUAUAAUAAGAAAUU